This 253-nucleotide ribosomal RNA is filed under the name uncultured bacterium. RNAcentral's name for it is "partial 16S ribosomal RNA". It matches the Rfam family "Bacterial small subunit ribosomal RNA", at positions 524 to 776 of the family's 1533-position model. The record is from RNAcentral.
UACAGAGGUCUCAAGCGUUGUUCGGAUUCAUUGGGCGUAAAGGGUGCGUAGGCGGCGCGGUAAGUCGGGUGUGAAAUCUCGGGGCUUAACUCCGAAACUGCAUUCGAUACUGCCGUGCUUGAGGACUGGAGAGGAGACUGGAAUUUACGGUGUAGCGGUGAAAUGCGUAGAUAUCGUAAGGAAGACCAGUGGCGAAGGCGGGUCUCUGGACAGUUCCUGACGCUGAGGAGCGAAAGCGUGGGGAGCAAACAGG